GUGUCAGCAGCCGCGGUAAGACAGAGGUGGCAAGCGUUGUUCGGUAUCACUGGGCUUAAAGCGUGUGUAGGCGGAAGCGUAAGCAUUUUGUGAAAUCCCCCGGCUCAACCGGGGCAUGGCUUGAUGUACUGCGCUUCUUGAGGCAGGUAGGGGUGCGAGGAACUCUUGGUGGAGCGGUGGAAUGCGUAGAUAUCAAGAGGAACGCCGAUGGUGAAGACAUCGCACUAGGCCUGUCCUGACGCUGAGACACGAAAGCGUGGGGAGCAAACGGGAUUAGAUACCCUCGUAGUCC
This 292-nucleotide ribosomal RNA is filed under the name uncultured bacterium. Its description in RNAcentral is "partial 16S ribosomal RNA". It matches the Rfam family "Bacterial small subunit ribosomal RNA", at positions 505 to 796 of the family's 1533-position model. The record is from RNAcentral.